Molecule: non-coding RNA, 75 nt
Organism: Ailuropoda melanoleuca (giant panda)
Lineage: Eukaryota; Metazoa; Chordata; Mammalia; Carnivora; Ursidae
Source: Rfam
UGGUCCACUGAUGAUAAUUGGUGGCUUUUGAAUCAUAUGGAAUGAAUACCUCAUUUCUAGAACCCUGAGUUCCAA